CUGUGAAGUUUCCAGGAGGAUGGAGAGUGGAGCAGGUUAUAUGCAGACACUGUAUCACUUUAUCUAAGAUCUCAGUGUCCUGAGAGAAAGGAUGGAACCAGCCUCAUGGGUACCAAGACAGGGGACAGUCUUCAUCCAGACCACCAGCCUGCCUUGUUCAUGUGGAACGUGGGAAGAACCACCUCUUGCUGCAGUGUUAGCUGAGGACAUUCAUGGUCACAUCGGUCACCUUGUCACAUUCUCUAGGUUGGACAACACAUCAGCUUCUGUGACUCCAACUACGCCACAGAGAAUGAGCCAGUGGACAGUCUCCAUGCAUCUUCUUCUCUUCUUCGUUCAGAGGUGGUAUGGCUUGCCUGGGAAUACCUGAAAAGGGUGGGAGCACCCCAUGUCUUCCUUUAUGGUCAAAGCUGUCCUUUGGAUGAAGGGAAGGGACAUCUUUACCUUCUUUUUGGCAGUGCUGGGGAUGGAACCUGCAGCUUCGUGCACAUUAGGCAGGUGCUGUGCUGCUGAGCUGUAUCCUCAGCCCCUUGGUGCCAUCUCAAUGGGGAAGUCCUUCAUCUUCCCUCGGCUGCUGGUAUUUCCAGAGGACAGAAAUCCAGGAAAGAGGGAGGCUUGGUGACUUGGGUGGGAAUCUUCCCAAGAGACUUCCACCUGACUAGAGAUGGCCAGUGUAUGGGAGAUGCAGGUCCUACCAGGUGGCAGGAGAGUGAGGUCUGAGGCAGGGGUCUUCUAGGGUGACCUUUUAUAUCUGGGUAAUUUGUCUAGUCAGGUAGUGGAGAAUGGGAGGUGACUGUGCAGCCAGGACCUGCCCUUCUGGUUCCAAGCCCGUGGGAGUGGGCUUGGCAUUAUUCUAGGUGAUACAAAUCAACUAGACUCUGUUUGCUGUCUGUGAGGACUCCGCUGGCCUUGGGGUGGGGCUAGCUCUGGAUUGUGCGUAGUGACAUUUAGGCUGUCUGUCUGUCUUCUUCCGGUCAGUCUUAAGAGAGGCAGUCUGGCUUUGGUCUAGGUCUUUGGGGGAGUGUCCUAGCUGGCUCUGUGGAAGGUAGUGUGGGAGUGGGGAACAUCUCUGGAUGCUUCAGUGUCUCCGGGUGCACAGAGACAGCAGUGACCCCUCCAGAACAGUGGCCACUCUGCCUAGCUGUGAAUGGCAGGAAGGUGGGUUCCUUCUGAGCUGCUGCAGGCAACAGCUGGUGUGUGACCCUGCAGCUUCUCUAGUCUACUGCAGUGACAGAACAGGCCCGCGGCUCCAGGUGCAGGCUUCUCAAUCUGCCAGAGUCCCUGGGUGACGGUAUGGAGCAGAGCCCUCCUCAGCAUCAAGGCGGUGGAGCAAGGGUCUCAGAGGCAAGACACCAAUGACCUUGAGGAGCCUGGAGCUUCCUGGGGUGAUGAAGACAGAAAAAAAAAACACACCUCCGUGGUAUAGAAACAUAUGGCAAACAUAUCAUAAGAGGAUUCUCCAGAAGCCUGGGACUAUUCAGGAAAGGGAUUUGGGUCAGGCAGGUGUUGGAGAGGAUGAAGCAUUGGGACCCACUUAGGUUGGUAAGGCUGUGUAGAUCUUGACUCUAGAUUUUGGGAGACUCUUCCUAAGACACACAAUGGGCUGGAGGGAAGGGGUGAAAUUACCAAAUGCAAUUCCAUCAGGAGGUUGAAACAGAAAGGCAAUUACAGGCUCAGCUCAGCCCUGUCACCCGGCAGGUGCCAGUCCCUGGGACCAUUUAUGGAAGGUUCUCCACUGAUGAGGGUGCUCUUGUCUGUGCCUGGUGUGUGAGGCAGAAACACCCCCACCUUUCUCCAGCUCCAUACUCCCCUGAGGACUCCCCUUCUGCACAUGGUGGGCUUGGGCCUUUGCACCCGAGAGGGGUGCUGCCUGUCAGCCAGGAAGACAUGUUCACAGCGUGCCGUGCUGUGGCCCCACAGAGGCCUGGUUCCAAGAGGAUUGAAAAUGUAAUCACAACAGUUUUUAUUAGCAAAAGAACAGCAGGGUCCCUUCUGCUGUCCAUAUGGAGAGAUCCCGAUGGGUAUUCAUGAAGCAGUUUGCCACGGGAACAGCCGUGCUUAAAACUCCUCGUCCAAUUACCUUUGAACUUGCCUUUUUUUUUGCUGCUGCUGUUGCUGCUGCUGCUGUUGCUGCUGCUGCAUGCAUGCAUGCAUGCAAAAUGUCUCACGUUUUGUUUCUACCAGAGAGGGGGAGGAGCCUGUCUUCCUCUGUGUGGGGUUACACUGUUCUACUCAGCCUCACGUGUCCUGUAUAAAACCAUCCAGCUGACUGGGUCAAAUCACAGCUCCUGGCAAGGCCUCUCAGGACUGUUGGGACGCCGGUGACAGGCUGAAGAGCUUAUUGGUUGGUGCAUUGCUUCCUGGUGCAUGCUGUCUCACUAUAGGACAAUUGUGACCAUCAUACCCUGGAAUCUCAGAGUCUUUCCUGAUUCAAAAUACUCCUUUCCAUUCAUCCUAGUGUACCAAGGGGUACAUAGCAACAACAGACUAGAUUCUUGGAGAGACAGUAGCUUUUUUUGUUUUGUUUUGUUUUGUUGUUUUUGUUUCUAGAGGGAAAGAAUAAACUAGAAGCAAGGUUAAAACAGAAGCAUGUCCCUUCAGCAUGUGAUCAGUGCCAAACUUUGAACUUCAUUGUCUUGAAGAGGACAGAGAAAGGGGCUCAUACAGUCUGAAGCCAGCACCCUGAGUCCAUGACCACCCACAGCUGGAGGAGCAUCCAGCCAGGCAAAUGCCACUUGAUCAUAGGGUGUUAGGACUGGGCACAUCUGUCCUGGCACCCAGCUGUGGGAAGUCAAAAGGACAGCGGCCAUUGUGCCUGCUGCACUGACCACCUUCUAGCCAGAGGUCUUUUCCUUGGGGGGUUCCAUGCUCUCCUGCUUUUAGGGACAGGGGACAUUUUAAGCAGGUUUUCUUCCUCUGCUCCGGGGGAUGUGGUGAACCCAACAUUGAUCUACUUGGAAUGGGUCUACUUAGGGUGAGAAGGGGCUGACUGGGGUCUUUGUGCUCUCUUUAUAUGCAGGGCUUCCUUUCAAGCAGGGGACGUGAGUUCUGGAGGCCUGCAUAGUCACCCAGGGUCACCUGGGACAAAGAUGUUGAGAACAUCACCAUUUGGACCCAACAGUGUUCAAGUGACAUCAUCUCUACCCCUUUGACCCCAAAUCGACAGCCUUUCUUUUGUACUUAGGUUGCCGAGGGAAACUUUCAGGCUAAAGAUUCAGCUAGAUGAUUCUCUUUCCCAAGAGCUAGUAGUUCUCUCCUCCUGCUUUUUUGUUUUCUUUCUGUUUUUAAUAUAUCACUUACAGCUUCCCCUUCCCGGCCAGGGCAGGCCUUCUCACAUGGCUGGAGGGUAGUUAGCCUCUUCCCCUGGUGUGGUGGCCCAUUUGGUCAUGUCAGAUGGAGCUGUCCACAAUCCUGGCUCAAGGGAGCGCCUCAUUAGAUCAUGCUAAUGAUCCCGUGGCAUGUAUUUCCAGGCUUUCUCUGCUUCCCAUCACUGAAGACAGAACCACCUCAGGUGGGCUUUGGAGUCAAACAGCCCUGGAUGCUUCUGCCACUGUCAUUUCUAGCAGUGAGAACUGAAUUUUUAGCAAGGUAUGAAGCCAAUCAGUGAAAGGGCAGGUGGUCUUUUGAAAACAUGUGAUGGUGGAGUAACAGAGUACCCAUAUCCACAAAUUAAGAUUUGACCUCUAACUUGAAUAAUUAGGCAAACAUCAGGUCAAAGUGGAUGCUAAAUCUAAAUGUAAAACCAAGAAAAUAUUAACGGCCGUGGUUUAGGCAAAGUCCUCAAAUAUAAUGCCAGGAACACAAUCCACCAAAUGGAAAUAUCAACAAAUUGGACUUUAUUUAAUUAAAAUCACCUUUUAGUCAUUGAGUGAUCCUGUCAAGAGAAUAAAAAGAUGAGCCACAAGGCUGGAAGGCAAUGUGUAUAAUUUGUGUGUUUGAUG
This is a non-coding RNA of Peromyscus maniculatus bairdii (prairie deer mouse), 3941 nucleotides long. Lineage: Eukaryota; Metazoa; Chordata; Mammalia; Rodentia; Cricetidae. The record is from RefSeq and is a predicted model, not a curated record.